UUUAUAUAUCUAUCUCGAUUAAUUUUAGGUGAGACUAACAACCGUUAGGUGAACAAAACUAUUACACUCUGUAGCAAUAUGUUGCAAGAGUAUAAAAAUAUAUAUACUUACAUACAUUUUCAAGAAAGAGCAAAUGAGUGAAAUUUCAGCAGGUAUGUUAUUUUAUAUUAAAUUUUUUUUUAAAUAUUGCCUAAAAAUUUUCUGAAAAUUUUGACAGACAUACUAUUGUAGUUGCGGUGUGACACGCAAAAGCAACAUCGGUGUACUUACAAUCCCAAACUGAGAACCACUGCUGAAAUCUGUAAAAUCGAUCGAUUACGGAACUUGGUUUGAAAAUUCGGCUAGCGGAAAUUUUUUAUUUAAAGUUUUCAUAGGCUUCACAUUGGUGGCAGUCGAAAGUGCGGAAUAAUAUAUGCCGCGAAGUUGUUGUAUUGUACCAAGAUGCCCAACAGGGAACGAUAGGGAAAAGUUGGUGCCCCUGGUAAAAUUGUUUAAAUUGUUGAAAGAAAAUUUAAAAAGCGGAAAUAUAACAAUGCUUAUAAAAUAUACACAAAAUGAGACAUAUUUACUUUUUUUAUAUUUCCGGUGGAAGAGUGAAAGUCGUUGGUUUUGAGGAAUGAUCGAGGAUGUUAGUGUUGACCUAAGGUUGGAAGUGUGUCUUGACAAUGUCAAGUCUACUGAGGUGUUCAUGAGUAAACAAGGAUAUCCAUUUUUUAAACUUCUUGAUGCAAUAAAGUAUACAUAUAUGUAGUAAACAUUUUUUUAAUGAAUUGGAAAAUGAUUUUCUCUUAAAAUCUUGAAUAUAUUAUAUUUUCGAAGUUUAUUAAAAACUAUUAGUUUGUAGUAAAAAAUAAAUAUAUAUAUUAUUAAUCCUCCUCUAUCAGCAGAUUUCCAUCUUAACCCUGAAUUCCUGGGUUUCUAUCCUAAGAUUUAUCUGUAUUAUCUAACUAAAUACUCCCAAACAACUUAUUAUCCUGAUAAAUAUACAAUAUAUUUAUAUAUAUUUUUAUUUAAUAUAUAUUUAGGACCACGUUUUUAGAAAUACUCGCGAAGUUCUUAAUUAAAAUACGUGAUCGAAAUUUCUCUGUCAAAGCUGGUUAAAAGGAUUUCAUAUACCACUAAAUUGAUGGAUCUUAAAUAUUGCGAUAAGCUACUUGAUAAAAAAUAAUUAAACAUCCAUACGAAAAUCUGGUAACAUUGUUAGCCACCUCUUCCUUACCUAAGUCUCUAUGAUAACCGGUAAAAUAUUAUUAUUAUGUUGGUUGUAAAGAAAAUGUAAUUUAAUAUCAAUAUUGUUCCAAAGAGCCUUAUUUAAAAUUUAUAUAAUAUUUUCUAAUACAAAAUUUUAAUAAUCACAACAAUUUGAUUUAAUAUCUCUUCUGAAGAAGACUUCGAGCGUUCCAUAUCUCAAAUCAAGACUUUCAAAUUACAUUGCCUUUUUACCACUCUUUUCGUGAAAACCAUUUUACUCCUGUAUUGCGAAUUGCCUGAGGUUUAGGCAUAUCUUUGUGUCUGAGGUCAUAUCUACGUACCGGUCAUAUCAGAAGAUAUUUAUAGCUGGCUAGACCUUUUUAGUUUAGGCCACUUAAAUUCAGUAUUUGCGAAAAUACAAAUAAAAAGGAGCAAAAAAUGCGUACCGGUGUUUGUGGUUUCCGAGUAUAAAAUUACAAAAAGCGUGAAUUUUCGCUUUAGAAUUACAACAAGUACUACUUCUACAUGCGUAACUAUAUCCUAAAGGUCAGGCUGACGCCGAGUAUAAUGUGAAAAAAAUGGAGAAUGUAUUUAAUUUUCUUUUCAGCUUUUUUCGUCUUCUUUUUUUAUGAUUUGAAAUAUAUGAAUAUAUUCGUCACUUUGUUUCUCUUUCGUCGGAUUUAAUUAAAUUUUGAUUGAUUACAAUUUGCUAGAAGGCAUUUAAGCUUGCAAGCGUUCGCUGAUGCAAAUGUGCGUACUGUCGGAGCGGAAUAUUUGAAAUAAAGUGCUCUUCUGUCACAAUUCUGUAGCAGUUGAGCCGAACUAAAAUGCCAAGGUUGGGGACGGGGAAUGCUCAACUGACGUAUUUAUGCCGAGCUCCUUGAUUUCAGCAAUGCGUAAGCGUGCCUUUAGAGUCACCGUUAUUGUCAUCUUUAUGCACAGCUCCCUCGCCGAGUCCCUUGUAGGUGCCGCUGACUGAAGCGUUCACGGUUCGGCUUUUGUAAUGCUGCAAGCGGCUUUGCUACGCAGCAAAACUACAUUUGCAUGCUUUCUUUGAGUGACGAAGGAAUAAUGAAAUACAAAUUUAAUUUGUGUACCCUGAGUUGUGAAAAGUGAAUGCUGCGUAGCUAAAAGCAUACAAUUGCAAACGGUGCCAGGAAACGCCUUACACUCGACACUGAGAUGCCGGCACUUUUGUUGUAACUACACACAGAGGGCUUAAUGACAUUUAUUCGUUAGAGCGAAGGCGAUUUCUCCUUACACGGUAUAUGUAUUAACGGGAAAUCAAAGUAAAUAGCCGUCACUUAUUUAUAUAAAAGAAACUAUCAGAUAUUUAUGAAUUUUAAUUUCACAACUCAGGUAAAACAUUUUUCUAGGUAUAACCACCUUCGUCAUGCAUAAGAAAGAUAGCAGAGGUAUUAUAUUUAUACCUACAAGUAGUUAUAAAAAAUAUAGCUUUGUUGCUGUUUCGGUUAUGAACAUAACAACACGGGACUCAUUCUAAAAAAAAUAGGCAAAACUAAUACCGAAUAAAGACUUGAAAAAUAAGUGCUUUUCUGGAAAUAAAACGUAAAAUUCGAGAAUUUUACCUCUUGUGACCUUCUCCUUACUGCUUAUUUCAAAUAAAUGUUCUGAGGAAUGCGCCUCGAGUUGUUUGCGGCCAUAUUAUAAGGCGAUAAUAAAUAAAGACAUAACAACCGAACACACGUGUUAUUGGAGUGGACCAAAACUACUGGUAAUUUUACUUGUAUAAGUUACCACUAUAUAAAACUUUUAACAAACACAAUUUUAUGGCAUUUACUUCAACGAAAGCCCAUCUGGAACCAUUCCAUUUCAACGUCCGCUAUCCAAACAAUAACGCUUCUUGAGUUAGUUUUGCUCGUUACUGAUUCAUCUGUAUAGACAAUUGACUUGAUAUACUCCACUCGUUUCAAUUACAAGGAUCCCGCUUAAUUGGACAACCCAAUCAAAAAAAUUCAUAUGUGCACUUUAAAUAUUUAUUUACUAUUUGGCAAUGAUAAUUAAAUAAUGUUUUUAUUUUUAGAGGGAAAAAAUAUUUCAUCAUUCGGUGCCAUGACUUAUCAAAGCUAUGUUUUGAGUGCUCAAAAAUAUAGUUGUUUCAGUCGAUGCGUGAGAGCUCAAAUCAUUGUGGUGAAGAGGGAUCUGGUUUCGGCGGUUAGUUUUCCUGAUUUCCUCUAAGACGACUGGCAUAAAAAUGGUUGUGUACCAAAAAACAGGUAACCAUUAGCUUGGAAGUGCUUUGUACGCGAACAACUUUUGUUGUAUUCGGCUCAUCUGGAAACACCCAUACAGUCGACUGCUGUUUACUUUCGGUCUCAAACGCGUAAAUCCACGAUUCAUCACCUGUCACUAUGUCAUAGAUUCACGAGAUUCAUCUUGGAGUGAUGUACGAUCUCGAUUGAAUUCUCCAUACCAUUGAUAAAUACUGUGGACAAAAAUUGUAAUAAGUUCAUUGAUGCACUGUUGUGGAGUUAAUCCAUGUCGAAAGUUGAAAAAUAUAAUUGAGCGAAAAUGUUCGCGAUUUAAUUUAAUUUUUUGGCCAAGAUAAAUUAAUUAAGUUACUGUAUACAAUACAAGAAGCGCUUGUACGAAAAACUCUCUCAAUAUGGAUAACAUCAAAAAUGAAAAAAAUUACGAUAAAGUUGUGAGUUGCCAGAUUGCAACACUAGUAUUGCCAAAUACCGAAAUAUAAAAGGCAACCGCACUGUGACCAACCAUUGCGGCAAUGUAAUUUGAAAUAUUGUCAUCUUUCUUGUGAAACACACUGUUCUCAAUAUGUAAUGAAAUGACUCAUAUUUGCCUGAUAACAGCGGAAUUAUAUUAGUGUUGCAUGCGUUUAUUUGCGUGUCCACGCGUGUUCAAAUGUAAUUGCGUCUAUUUAGCUAUACAAAUAAUACUGAAUGGAAGAUUUAUUGCCGCAUUUAAGACUGCUCAACAAAUAAUGGCGUUCAUUUUGCGAUACAUGUGCAUACAAGGUGAAGUAUUCCGGUCAGCCAGUUCUGCACGUUAACUAUAAAUACCCUAUUCUAAAAACUCCAUUUAUCACUCCACUCGAACAAUAGUAAAUUUCGUACUAUUGUUUUGCGAAAAGUUGAUGUAACGCUAAAACCGUAGGUUAGCAAGUCUUAUGUGGUAUAAGAUACCGUCUUUUAUUCCUAGAAUUCCUAGAUUACGAAGAUUGACCCAGUAGCCGGUAUUUGUGUUAAAAUGUCAAUAUAAAUGUAGUUCACAGUCAUACACUCAAAGACAGUAGUAACAAAGCCUUAGAAAGUUCAUGUUAUAUUUUCGUACUACCAGAAAGAAUUUUUAAACUUAGAUAUUUUUUAAGAGCAAAUUUCAAUAAAUGAAUGCUUAGCCCGCUACAUUAAUUUCAUUCCAUACCAUUUUUGAUUUCUUUGACUCUGGCAACGGACUCAAAGAGUCGCACAGUAAAAACAGUAAAAUAUAAUUUUAUGCUCUUCAUUAUGCAUUGGAUGUCUAACUCAUUUGAGAAAAUUACGAGAGCGUUAGUGAAAUUCAUUUCUCCUGAACAAAUAAUGCAGUGUUUUGUCAUUGAGAGUCCGUUUGCGAAUUACAUUUUUAUUGUUAAUGUCCGUCUAUUAUUGUGCGCUGACAAACUGACUGUUAGUGCUAUGGAAAGAUGAAUGCUUGCAGAACUUUUAUCACAUAACAAUUGCUCGCUCAGCUUGCCAGCGCCGAUGCCUUCUAGGAAAAGCUUGAACAUGUAAA
Bactrocera oleae (olive fruit fly) is the source of this 4941-nucleotide non-coding RNA. NCBI's taxonomy places the organism in Eukaryota, Metazoa, Arthropoda, Insecta, Diptera, Tephritidae. The record is from RefSeq and is a predicted model, not a curated record.